RNAcentral lists this ribosomal RNA (402 nucleotides) under uncultured bacterium. RNAcentral's name for it is "bacterial SSU rRNA". It matches the Rfam family "Bacterial small subunit ribosomal RNA", at positions 355 to 774 of the family's 1533-position model. The record is from RNAcentral.
UGGGGAAUAUUGGACAAUGGGCGCAAGCCUGAUCCAGCAAUGCCGCGUGAGUGAUGAAGGCCUUAGGGUUGUAAAGCUCUUUCGCACGCGACGAUGAUGACGGUAGCGUGAGAAGAAGCCCCGGCUAACUUCGUGCCAGCAGCCGCGGUAAUACGAAGGGGGCUAGCGUUGUUCGGAAUUACUGGGCGUAAAGGGCGCGUAGGCGGCCUGUUUAGUCAGAAGUGAAAGCCCCGGGCCCAACCUGGGAAUAGCUUUUGAUACUGGCAGGCUUGAGUUCCGGAGAGGAUGGUGGAAUUCCCAGUGUAGAGGUGAAAUUCGUAGAUAUUGGGAAGAACACCGGUGGCGAAGGCGGCCAUCUGGACGGACACUGACGCUGAGGCGCGAAAGCGUGGGGAGCAAACA